This 253-nucleotide ribosomal RNA is filed under the name uncultured bacterium. RNAcentral's name for it is "partial 16S ribosomal RNA". It matches the Rfam family "Bacterial small subunit ribosomal RNA", at positions 524 to 776 of the family's 1533-position model. The record is from RNAcentral.
UACGUAGGGUGCGAGCGUUAAUCGGAAUUACUGGGCGUAAAGCGUGCGCAGGCGGUCCUAUAAGACAGAUGUGAAAUCCCCGGGCUCAACCUGGGAACUGCGUUUGUGACUGUAGAACUAGAGUGUGGCAGAGGGGGGUAGAAUUCCACGUGUAGCAGUGAAAUGCGUAGAGAUGUGGAGGAAUACCGAUGGCGAAGGCAGCCCCCUGGGUUAACACUGACGCUCAUGCACGAAAGCGUGGGGAGCAAACAGG